Non-coding RNA from Acanthosepion pharaonis, 111 nucleotides. NCBI's taxonomy places the organism in Eukaryota, Metazoa, Mollusca, Cephalopoda, Sepiida, Sepiidae. The record is from the annotation of a GenBank genome assembly.
UUACGACCACAUCAUGUUUAAACACUUGUUCCCGUAUAAUCACCGAAGUUAAGCUACAUCGACCUUGAUUUGUUCCCGGAUGGGUGACCUCUUGGGAAUAAAAGGUGCUGU